RNAcentral lists this long non-coding RNA (257 nucleotides) under Lathyrus oleraceus (garden pea). RNAcentral describes it as "Pisum sativum (pea) long non-coding RNA (PSAT_LNC005604)". Lineage: Eukaryota; Viridiplantae; Streptophyta; Magnoliopsida; Fabales; Fabaceae. The record is from RNAcentral.
UCUUUAUUUAAUUCUAUUGCCUUUUUACUCUUGCUUUAUUUAUUUAGUACCUUAAUCAUCACCAUUUUGCAUGGAAACUCAAUUGAUUUUAAAUCAAAAGUUGAAAAGUGUUAUUGAACCUCCAUAAGAAAAAGUGAUUUAUUGUUAUUUAAAUAACUCUUAUGCCUAUUCUUUAUUCAAUUCUAUUUCAUUUUUACUCUUACUUUAUUUAUUUAGUACUUUAAUAAUCAUCAUUUUGUAUGGAAACUCAAUUGAUU